Bufo gargarizans (Asiatic toad) is the source of this 420-nucleotide long non-coding RNA. RefSeq lists it as uncharacterized. The record is from RefSeq and is a predicted model, not a curated record. The transcript is spliced from 3 exons. NCBI's taxonomy places the organism in Eukaryota, Metazoa, Chordata, Amphibia, Anura, Bufonidae.
UACAGGCAUCAGCCAGACCCGGGAACUUCACUGCAAGACCCCCUGUCUUCACUAACUUCACUGCAGGUGUCCUAUGGAUUAACCACUGCAUGGCUUCACCAACUUCUCUGCAUCCUACAAGUAACUCCUGCAUGGGGCCAAUUCUGCGGAGGCCAGAAAAAGAGACCGAUUCCAAUCAAAGAAGACGUCACCUUUGAUUCACCCUGAGAAGUCGCUCUAUCCAGACAGCAUAGAGGCAACUCAUUCUCUACAACCAGGAGAUUGGGUAGUGGUGAAACGACACGUGCGAAAAGUCCUAAAACCACGCUUUGAGGGUCCACAUCAAGUACUGUUAACCACCGCCACUGCUGUCAAGUUGGAAGGAAAGCCUAAUUGGGUCCACGCAUCUCAUUGCAAAAAGUAUCAGAACCUCAAGUGCUG